RNAcentral lists this long non-coding RNA (2096 nucleotides) under Nicotiana tabacum (common tobacco). RNAcentral describes it as "long non-coding RNA (NTAB_LNC007915)". Lineage: Eukaryota; Viridiplantae; Streptophyta; Magnoliopsida; Solanales; Solanaceae. The record is from RNAcentral.
AUGCAGCAAGCUCAGCACCAGCAGUCACUACCUCAACAAAUGACUUCUCAUCCUUUGCAACCGUCGAAUUUGCCACAGCUACAGCCUCCACAUAUGCCUCUAAUGCCACAUCCUCAUUUACCUCGGCCACCACACCAACUACAACAAGUAAACAUGCCUGGCCUUCCGUCUUCAAUGCCAGGUUCGGGAUCCAUCCAAGCAAUGCCUAUCCCUGGUCCAAUGGUAUGUAUCAUAUUUCUAUUUGCAGGUUGCAUCUUCUUCCCCUUUUUUCCUGUAGAUGUGCCAUACAUAUCUUGAUUCAUCACGGUGCAUCUUUAAGUUUAAUGCUCUUGCUAAUCAAACGGAAAUAAGUAAGCGUUUAAUGUAUUUUUAGUGUAGCAUGCAUUCUGAUUUGUAUCUCUGUGUUUAUGUUUGCUUAUAUUGAUAGAUUCUGAAUUCAUCUUCAUUCGAACCCCCCCCCCUACCCCCACCCCCCUCUUUUAGUGAAGAUGCCUCUUCUUCUCUGUAGAUUUUCCAAAUCAACCUAGUGCACAAAGCAUCCGGCAUUCACGCAGGGUGGGGAAAGGGCCACACCCUUAGGGGUGUGAUGUAGACAACAUACCCUAUACCCUAAUGCAAGCAUUAGUGGCUACUUCCAUGGCUCGAACCCGUGACCAAUAGGUCACACGAAAAAUAAAGAGAAAUCAAUAUUUGUGUAGAUUUUCCACAUUCAUUUUGUGCAAAGUGCUUAUAAAACUUUGAUAUUAAAGAAUAAGUGUUGUGAAACAGAGAUUAUCUUUUUGUAGGAUUCCAACUUUAUUUUACUGAUAUUCUAGGUUUAAGGCCAUAAUAAUUUCCGAGGCGUUAGUCAUGUAUUUGUAUUGAGAUGACAGUUGUAGCCAAAUGGUUACAAUUUUUCUUUGCACCUGUUGCAGAUAUAAAAUAAAUUACAGUAAAAGUGUCCCCUAUCCGAGAGUUUUAAACUUUUAAAUUAGACAGUUCACGCAGUUCAAUGUGGUAUUAUAAAAGGCAGAGGGUCCUCAAGCCUUCCCGUCAUCGAUCUACAAAAUAUUUUCAUGUGCUUGACAAGGGGAAAAAUUCAGGGUUGCACGUGAGAGGGCGAGGUUUAAUGACAUAAGUUACAUCAAUACAUGCGUCAUGUUUCUAACUGCUAAAGCUUUUACACGAGACGGUUCUCACUUUUCAACUUGCAUGGAUCAAAUUUCAUUAGCAUCUUUGUGUCUUCUUGAAUAGAGCGGAAUUGGUAGCAACCCGACGGCUUUGGAAUUGUGGCAUAUAUUUGAUUGAUUGAUACGAAGUGCAUUUGCUUGAAGGAAAUACAUCGAGAGGAUCAAGGGGUUAUUUCAGCAUCACUGCUUGGUUGUCUUCUUGUUUUCAGGGGAUACAAGGUAACAUGAAUCAGAUGGUUCCUCCAAUGCCUCAAGGUCAUUGUUAGGACCGAAAAAUCAGGUGUCAUACGGAAGCUAGCAAAACAAAACUUGAGCGACGAUAAAUUAUACAACAAAAAGAAAUAUACCAAAAGAGAUACAAACAUUUAACGUGGUUCGGUUAACUGACUUACAUCUACAACGGAGAUGAACAAUCCACUAUAUAAAAAAAAGAGUACAAACUAUCGAGAGAACAACCUCACGAAGAGGCAAAUACAAGUGACACACUAACACUUGUCCCGUAAAGUUCUCUCCCUAAACACUACUCUCAAGCCCCUAUGGCUACAUUGUGGAUGCUGCUGAAUGAGAAGGACGAAUCCUCAAUUUAUAGAAGUCCAAACCUUUUCCUACAAGAAAAAGGACUAGCCAAGUAUAUGAGAAUUAUAAUUUCCUUCUACAAUAAGGAAAACCCAAUUAAGGUAAUUAUAUUGCCAUUUCCUUCAACAAAUAGGAAAACCAAAUAUGAUAAGAAAAUUAUGGUAAAUACCUAACAAUUUUGUGGGCAUGCCUUCUGGAUCUGGACCACAGGGCAAUGUUCCUCCAGGUGGACUGCCAAACAUGCAAGGCCCUCAAAAUCCAGGAGGUAAUCAGAUGUUUCCACCAGGACGAGGCUUCAACAGGCAACAAGCUGGACAAAUGCCGCUUAUGCCUGGACAUAAUCCUUAUCAG